UCUUCAUUUUGCACACUCUCUCACAGGUCAGAGUGUUGAGAGAGUGUGUGAAAUGAAAAGA
Molecule: non-coding RNA, 61 nt
Organism: Pristionchus pacificus
Lineage: Eukaryota; Metazoa; Nematoda; Chromadorea; Rhabditida; Neodiplogasteridae
Source: Rfam